CCUACGGGAGGCAGCAGUGGGGAAUAUUGCACAAUGGGGGAAACCCUGAAGCAGCGACGCCGCGUGAGUGAAGAAGUAUUUCGGUAUGUAAAGCUCUAUCAGCAGGGAAGAAAAUGACGGUACCUGACUAAGAAGCCCCGGCUAACUACGUGCCAGCAGCCGCGGUAAUACGUAGGGGGCAAGCGUUAUCCGGAAUUACUGGGUGUAAAGGGAGCGUAGACGGCCAGACAAGUCAGAAGUGAAAGCCCAGGGCUCAACCCUGGGACUGCAUUUGAAACUGGCGGGCUGGACUGCAGGAGAGGGAAGCGGAAUUCCUAGUGUAGCGGUGAAAUGCGUAGAGAUCAGGAGGAAUACCAGUGGCGAAGGCGGCUUACUGGACUGUAACUGACGUUGAGGCUCGAAAGCGUGGGGAGCAAACAGGAUUAGAUACCCUUGUAGUC
This 440-nucleotide ribosomal RNA is filed under the name uncultured bacterium. Its description in RNAcentral is "partial 16S ribosomal RNA". It matches the Rfam family "Bacterial small subunit ribosomal RNA", at positions 338 to 795 of the family's 1533-position model. The record is from RNAcentral.